RNAcentral lists this ribosomal RNA (253 nucleotides) under uncultured bacterium. Its description in RNAcentral is "partial 16S ribosomal RNA". It matches the Rfam family "Bacterial small subunit ribosomal RNA", at positions 524 to 776 of the family's 1533-position model. The record is from RNAcentral.
UACGGGGGGGGCAAGCGUUGUUCGGAAUUACUGGGCGUAAAGGGCUCGUAGGUGGCCAACUAAGUCAUACGUGAAAUCCCUCGGCUUAACCGGGGAACUGCGUCUGAUACUGGAUGGCUUGAGGUUGGGAGAGGGAUGCGGAAUUCCAGGUGUAGCGGUGAAAUGCGUAGAUAUCUGGAGGAACACCGGUGGCGAAGGCGGCAUCCUGGACCAAUACUGACGCUGAGGAGCGAAAGCCAGGGGAGCAAACGGG